GCUUUGCUCGGGUGUAAUGCAAAAUCCUCGUUUAAAAAUAGUUUUUUUAAACGAGGACUUGUUAAUGGAUAGCUGGAUCAACU
RNAcentral lists this small RNA (83 nucleotides) under Flavobacterium aquicola. RNAcentral's name for it is "Flavo-1 RNA". Lineage: Bacteria; Pseudomonadati; Bacteroidota; Flavobacteriia; Flavobacteriales; Flavobacteriaceae. The record is from RNAcentral.